Molecule: long non-coding RNA, 584 nt
Filed under: Elaeis guineensis (African oil palm)
Lineage: Eukaryota; Viridiplantae; Streptophyta; Magnoliopsida; Arecales; Arecaceae
Description: long non-coding RNA (EGUI_LNC075783)
Source: RNAcentral
CUAGCCUUCCUAUCUCUACCUUUCUUGUCUCCUUGUCUUCCUUAAAUCUCUUCCUAGGUCUUUGUUCUAAAAUCGAUCUUGUCCUUACUAUUUUUGGACUUGUUCUAACAAAAGAAAGAAGAGACUAAUUGGAUAAAAGGGAGAAGGUGUAAGAAAGAAGAGAUAGAAUUGAAAAUCUGAAUGAAUGAAUCCCCGAUGCAGCCCCUUUUAAAUAGUUGCGAUAGGAUGCAUUGGGAUUUGAUUCGCACCCUCUCCACGCGACAACUCAUGCCCAUCUAGAUUAUCUCACACCCCAAGUAUAAUUUUCAUGCCCAUCUAGAAGCAUUUGACACAUGGAAAAGAUCGAGAAAGAAAUUUGAGAGAUGCUUCACGUAGAAAGACUCUUCAGAAUAUUUUUUCAAUGUUUCUCCAAUUCAUCGUGAGGCUUCACUGGGUGUAAUUUUUCUCCACCAUAGAUUCCUACCUUCUAAUGCGCACAUGCCCAGAAUGAGAUGCUUUUCACAUCCCUUCACCCAUCAGAUUAGUGUGAAAUUUUGCAACAUAAACCUUUGUUCAAACAGGAAGUCCAUCACUAAAUGACACAU